Molecule: ribosomal RNA, 254 nt
Filed under: uncultured bacterium
Lineage: Bacteria
Description: partial 16S ribosomal RNA
Rfam family: Bacterial small subunit ribosomal RNA
Source: RNAcentral
UACGGGGGGGGGCAAGCGUUGUUCGGAAUUACUGGGCGUAAAGGGCUCGUAGGCGGCCAACUAAGUCAGACGUGAAAUCCCUCGGCUUAACCGGGGAACUGCGUCUGAUACUGGAUGGCUUGAGUUCGGGAGAGGGAUGUGGAAUUCCAGGUGUAGCGGUGAAAUGCGUAGAUAUCUGGAGGAACACCGGUGGCGAAGGCGGCAUCCUGGACCGACACUGACGCUGAUGAGCGAAAGCCAGGGGAGCAAACGGG